Molecule: ribosomal RNA, 491 nt
Filed under: uncultured bacterium
Lineage: Bacteria
Description: bacterial SSU rRNA
Rfam family: Bacterial small subunit ribosomal RNA
Source: RNAcentral
GGCUCAGAUUGAACGCUGGCGGCAUGCUUUACACAUGGCAAGUCGAACGGUAACAGGUCUUCGGAUGCUGACGAGUGGCGAACGGGUGAGUAAUGUAUCGGAACGUGCCCGAGUAGUGGGGGAUAACUACUCGAAAGAGUGGCUAAUACCGCAUACGCCCUACGGGGGAAAGCAGGGGAUCUUCGGACCUUGCGUUAAUGGAGCGGCUGAUAUCUGAUUAGCUAGUUGGUGAGGUAAAGGCUCACCAAGGCGACGAUCAGUAGCUGGUCUGAGAGGACGACCAGCCACACUGGAACUGAGACACGGUCCAGACUCCUACGGGAGGCAGCAGUGGGGAAUUUUGGACAAUGGGCGCAAGCCUGAUCCAGCCAUUCCGCGUGAGUGAAGAAGGCCUUCGGGUUGUAAAGCUCUUUCGCAAGGGAAGAAAACUUACUUUCUAAUAAAGAGUGAGGUUGACGGUACCUUGAUAAGAAGCACCGGCUAACUACGUG